Misgurnus anguillicaudatus (oriental weatherfish) is the source of this 1891-nucleotide non-coding RNA. Lineage: Eukaryota; Metazoa; Chordata; Actinopteri; Cypriniformes; Cobitidae. The record is from RefSeq and is a predicted model, not a curated record.
UUUUGCAACCCAGUCUCAUGUAAAAACGUACCCUGACUACGUUGGUCCAAUUUGCAAAACGUAGAGGAGUUACAAUAAUGGCCCUAGAAUUGUAUGACUGUUACAUUUUUUUUCGCCUAUUCUUUUAAUGGCCCUUGAAUUGUAUGACUCUUACGUUUUUUUUUCGUCCAAGUCACGUGACUUUCAAGCUACCGGCCGUGAGAACAAAAAACAUGGCGGACAUUCUCUCAUUUUUAGUGGAAAAAUCUAUAUUUUGAGUUAGUUUCUGAAUAAAAAGAAGUUUUGAUUACAUUUCUAGCGAGAAAUAUAUAUUUUAUUUUCAUAAUAUUCACUCAGUGAAUUUACAUAAUCAUCGCUUGCUCGAUUUUACGCAGAUUUUUCAGAUCUCGCCAGAAUAAUGUGAAACUGAUACGUUUUGGUUGCUAUGGACACUGCCAGGGCUCGUCACAUGACGUCUUUUAAAGACUUUAUUAAAACCGCGUUCAGCUACAGGUAAAACAACAUUCAGAGGUGAUUUUAACAACGCUCCACGGCGCGUGAGAGUAAGCAUUUUAAGCGUUUUCUGAUCAUGUAGGUGUGCCACUGUGGGUGGCUCCCGCACACCCCCGUGGCUACGCCCCUGCCGUGACCCAAAUCUCGUUCUCACAUCAUCGCGAUGUUUAUCAUCUAUUUACAAACGUAGCCAGUCGCCACAUCUUUAUUAGCCUAUCCCCUGUAUGUCAUCGAUGCGCUACUUCAAAGAUGUGAGGAAAAGAACAUACACCUGCGAGUAGUCUUAGACAUUGCCUGUGUUAUUGCCUCACAUUUGCAGAAAUCAGGGGAGGGCAUAUCACACAACAUUGCCUUGGCCGUACCAGCAUUUCAUGUUUAUGGACACAAAUUGCCCUGCCAGAUCAAGUACAGUACCAGAUGGCUUGAUGGGUUUGGGCUCACAGACGGGGAAGGAAUGGAAAGGCUGUGGUCUUUCCUCCAAAGAUUUGCCAGAGUCCAUCUCAUCGCCUUGACCUACUGACUGAUGCCCUUUUGCAUUAUGGACGGAGGAAAUCAACUGACCUAGGUGUGUCUACUGCUGUAUAACCUUUCAAAAUUCUGUGCUGGUGGUUCAGUGUUUAUACAUUUUAUAUUUUCUGGAGUGAAGCCGAUCACACACAAAAUGGUAAGCAUACUAUUAGUAGAUUAAACUGUCUUUUCAUAGGUGCAGCUACUGCAAAGAGUAGACAAAGCAGAGAAAAUAUUGAUUCUUGCUCAGGAAGAUAUCUCAUCUAUCAUCAGAGAGGCACCAGGUAAACAAUGCACAUAAGAAGCAGUGUUGAUUUCUGAAGGAGACAUGGAGAGAUGGAAAAAAGCUAGCCCAACAGAAACCAAUAAGUAAGGAACUGAAGUUAAAGUCUUAAAUACUACACUGUCUGUAGAUGGAAAAGGGACUACAUCAUCAGACUGAUUCAGUUCUACAAGUUCAAAAUUGAGGACUCUGCUGAACAUUGAGGAAAAAAUACCGUAUCGGGAGAAGAUGGCAAGAGUCUGAUUCAAACUUCCAGUCUACCCUUAAAGAUGUGGACCGUGAGCUCAGAGUCCAAAUGCAAGGCUAGAACUGAAUCAAGGGAGAGAGCAGUCGUCCUCCACCAGAGAAGAAUAUAUCCAGCUUUGCUUCAGAUGGGCAGGGCAUUGCCAUUAGACUCUCCAAGCAGGUAGCCAAUUGAUUUUCAGGAAUCAUGUGAUCCCUCUUGGCAUGUCUACUUCUGCUUUAAUGACACUAUUGAAGAAGAUGAUGUUUCGAGGAGUCUAAAAAGGCGAGGGAUUGAUGCCUUACAUAUGAAGACUCGGGCAGCUGAGAAAAAGUGCAUGCUUUACCAGGAAAUUAGAAGUCUAAGGGGCCAGUCACACCAAAAGC